This is an RNA transcript of Musa acuminata AAA Group (dessert banana), 2907 nucleotides long. It is a transcript of the gene named serine/threonine protein phosphatase 2A regulatory subunit B''beta, with no coding region annotated. The record is from RefSeq and is a predicted model, not a curated record. NCBI's taxonomy places the organism in Eukaryota, Viridiplantae, Streptophyta, Magnoliopsida, Zingiberales, Musaceae. The transcript is spliced from 14 exons.
UCUUUCCUCUCUCGGCGUUUCGAGGUCCAAAGCCACCUCUUCUCACCUUGGUCCUCGAGGGCGGCGAGCUCCGUGAUCCGAGUUCCCUCCCGUUCCAGAUACAAUCAUCGUGCUUUCCUCCGCUUGCCAUCGGUUCCGGUCUUCCGAGAGAGAGAUUUCGAGGACGAUCUCGCUUCAUAUUGCUUCGGUGUCGGGUUAAGCCAGGAUCCCGCCGAGUCGAAGUGAUCUGAGGUUUCUCCAGCUUCUCAGCUUCCAAUAUAGGAUUUCUUGGAUUUAUUUGACAACUCGUUGGAGGGAUUCGAGGUUUGGUUGCUAGAAUGUGCAGAUGGAGAAGGGUAGGGAGGGCGACGAUCGGAUUGGAAGGCUUAGGGUUUGUUGCCCGUGAUUUUUAAACCAAGGAUUUGAUUUUUGGAUUCUUUGGUCAAGAAAGCUUGGGGAUCCAGGGUUUCCGGUAUUCUUUUUGUUGGUUGUUUCUGUUCUCGUUUUAUGCGCGAGGAAGGAUUUGGUUGGAAUGGAUACGGAUAUGGUGAGGGACAUGGCAUCACUUGACCCGGAGCUGCUGCAGCUUCCGGAGGUAUCUCAAUUAGCUCUGAAGGAGAAACCUAAAAUAGCUGAAGACCUGUAUUGCCAGUGGCUCUCAUUGCCAGAAACGAGGAAAUUGGUUAAGUCAUUGAUUGAAGAUGCAAAAGCAGGUUCACCUUUGAAUGUUGCUGGCAGCUCUGGUACUGCAAUUGCUGCUGCUAACAAUUCACUGCCUUCCAUGUUUCCUGCUGGCAGUGUGCCUCCUCUCUCACCUAGGAGCACAUCUGGAUCUCCUCGUUUUAUGAAGCGUAGUAGUUCAGCAGCUGGACCUUCACCUUUUGGUUCUCCACUAAAAUUAGUUAAUGAACCUGUCAAAGAAGUUAUACCUCAGUUCUACUUCCAAUAUGGGCGUCCUCCACCAAGAGAACUGAAGGAACAAUGCUUAUCUAGAAUUGAUCAUCUUUUCUUUGGCAACAUGGACGGACUACAAAUACAAGAAUUCAAAACCCUGACAAAGGAAAUCUGCAAGUUACCAUCAUUUCUUUCCAGUUCUCUUUUCAGAAAAAUUGAUGUUGAGUGCACUGGAAUGGUAACAAGGGAUUCAUUCGUCGAAUAUUGGAUUAACAGUAACAUGAUGAUAAAGGAUAUAGCUACACAAAUAUUUACCAUUUUGAAGCAACCGGACCACAAGUACCUUACUCAGGAGGACUUUAAACCAGUCCUGCGAGAACUUUUGGCAACCCAUCCAGGUUUGGAGUUCCUACAGGGAACCCCUGAGUUCCAGGAUAGAUAUGCUGAAACUGUCAUAUACAGAAUCUUUUACCAUGUGAAUAGAUCUGGAAAUGGUCAACUUACCCUCAGAGAGUUGAAACAUGGAAACUUAAUUGCUGCGAUGCAUCAUGCUGACGAAGAGGAGGAUAUUAACAAAGUCUUGAGAUACUUUUCAUACGAGCACUUCUAUGUGAUCUAUUGUAAGUUCUGGGAACUUGAUACAGAUCAUGACUUCUUGAUUGAUAAAGAGAACCUUAUCAGAUAUGGAAACCAUGCACUGACCUACAGAAUUGUUGAAAGGAUCUUUUCACAGGUUCCCAGGAAAUUUAAAAGCAAUGCUGAUGGCAAAAUGGGCUACGAAGACUUUGUGUAUUUUAUACUAGCAGAGGAGGAUAAGUCUGCUGAGCCUAGUCUUGAGUAUUGGUUCAAGUGUAUAGAUUUGGAUGGGAAUGGAAUUUUAACAGCCAAUGAGAUGCAAUUUUUCUAUGAGGAGCAGUUGCAUCGUAUGGAAUGUAUGGCGCAAGAACCUGUACUCUUUGAGGACAUUUUGUGCCAGAUGAUUGAUAUGAUUGGAUCUGAGAAUGAGAGCUACUUUACAUUGCGUGACUUAAAAGGCUGCAAACUUUCAGGAAAUGUUUUUAAUAUCCUUUUUAAUCUCAACAAAUUCAUGGCAUUUGAAACUCGUGAUCCAUUUCUCAUUCGGCAGGAAAGGGAAAACCCAACUUUGACUGAGUGGGACCGUUUCGCACAUAGAGAAUAUAUUAGAUUGAGCAUGGAGGAAGAUGGUGAAGAUGCCUCCAAUGGAAGUGGAGACAUCUGGGAUGAAUCACUUGAGGCUCCUUUUUGAAGAUAAUUCAUGUUGGACAGAUCCAAGCUCUCAAUCACAGCUUAAGGAAAAGGAAGAAAAGGAAGAGAGAAGUGGGGGAGGAGUGGUGGAAGGAGGUGAAGAAGAUAGGAACUGCCUUUGCUGCUGCUUUAUUAUGCCACUAUGCUACAGCCACCCCUAUUGCAGCUGCUGGCACCUGAUCAAAAGAUUUGGUUUCUGGAAGCUUCCCAGAAGCUGCCCAAGGAGCAGCUACAUAGCUUGCAUCGGAUAUUCCUUUGGCAGAAAUUGGUAGGAGUGCCUGCCUUGGUUCUAUAAUUUCAACAGAAAGGUUUAGUUCCAUGUGUAUGUUUCGAUGAUGUGCAAAGUUUUGCUCUCAAGGCAUGUGAAAGCUAGGUAGCUUUCUGGAGUGAGUGGCUCGAUCUGGUAGUGCCAAGCAAGAAGGCAAGACUUUUUGUUUGUUGUCAACAAGAGAGCUCUCUCUCUCUCUCUCUCUCUCUCUCUCUCUCUCUACUUUUCCAGGCCAAGUGCCAACAGGACUGUUGAUCACAUCCCCUUGUAGAUGGAGCAAAUUAACGUUGAUUUAUGAUUUCUGUUUCCUUUCUCUCAUUUGUUCCAUUUUAAUGGUUUUAUGGGAGUACAGGGAAGCAACACUUCAGUUGUCUCCUUCCAUGUGCUUUUCUGCUAAUGUAAUGCCCUUGUUUUAGUGAAUUCCUCUGAUAUGUCCAUUUAACUGCAAUCUAUGAUCAUGAAAAAGACCAAAGUUAUUGGUCGAUAGGCUUUUUACUUCA